This 375-nucleotide ribosomal RNA is filed under the name uncultured bacterium. Its description in RNAcentral is "bacterial SSU rRNA". It matches the Rfam family "Bacterial small subunit ribosomal RNA", at positions 524 to 898 of the family's 1533-position model. The record is from RNAcentral.
UACGUAGGGAGCAAGCGUUGUCCGGAUUUACUGGGUGUAAAGGGUGCGUAGGCGGCUAUGCAAGUCAGUUGUGAAAACUAUGGGCUCAACCCAUAGCCUGCAACUGAAACUGCGUGGCUUGAGUGAAGUAGAGGUAGGUGGAAUUCCCGGUGUAGCGGUGAAAUGCGUAGAGAUCGGGAGGAACACCAGUGGCGAAGGCGACCUACUGGGCUUUAACUGACGCUGAGGCACGAAAGCAUGGGUAGCAAACAGGAUUAGAUACCCUGGUAGUCCAUGCCGUAAACGAUGAUUACUAGGUGUGGGGGGUCUGACCCCCUCCGUGCCGGAGUUAACACAAUAAGUAAUCCACCUGGGGAGUACGACCGCAAGGUUGAA